This 395-nucleotide ribosomal RNA is filed under the name uncultured bacterium. RNAcentral's name for it is "partial 16S ribosomal RNA". It matches the Rfam family "Bacterial small subunit ribosomal RNA", at positions 523 to 918 of the family's 1533-position model. The record is from RNAcentral.
AUACGUAGGGUGCAAGCGUUAAUCGGAAUUACUGGGCGUAAAGCGUGCGCAGGCGGUUUUGUAAGACAGAGGUGAAAUCCCCGGGCUCAACCUGGGAACUGCCUUUGUGACUGCAAGGCUAGAGUACGGCAGAGGGGGAUGGAAUUCCGCGUGUAGCAGUGAAAUGCGUAGAUAUGCGGAGGAACACCGAUGGCGAAGGCAAUCCCCUGGGCCUGUACUGACGCUCAUGCACGAAAGCGUGGGGAGCAAACAGGAUUAGAUACCCUGGUAGUCCACGCCCUAAACGAUGUCAACUGGUUGUUGGGUCUUCAUUGACUCAGUAACGAAGCUAACGCGUGAAGUUGACCGCCUGGGGAGUACAGCCGCAAGGUUGAAACUCAAAGGAAUUGACGGGG